Molecule: ribosomal RNA, 1372 nt
Filed under: uncultured bacterium
Lineage: Bacteria
Description: bacterial SSU rRNA
Rfam family: Bacterial small subunit ribosomal RNA
Source: RNAcentral
GAUGAACGCUGGCGGCGUGCCUAAUACAUGCAAGUCGAGCGAACGGACGAGAAGCUUGCUUUUCUGAUGUUAGCGGCGGACGGGUGAGUAACACGUGGAUAACCUACCUAUAAGACUGGGAUAACUUCGGGAAACCGGAGCUAAUACCGGAUAAUAUUUUGAACCGCAUGGUUCAAAAGUGAAAGACGGUCUUGCUGUCACUUAUAGAUGGAUCCGCGCUGCAUUAGCUAGUUGGUAAGGUAACGGCUUACCAAGGCAACGAUGCAUAGCCGACCUGAGAGGGUGAUCGGCCACACUGGAACUGAGACACGGUCCAGACUCCUACGGGAGGCAGCAGUAGGGAAUCUUCCGCAAUGGGCGAAAGCCUGACGGAGCAACGCCGCGUGAGUGAUGAAGGUCUUCGGAUCGUAAAACUCUGUUAUUAGGGAAGAACAUAUGUGUAAGUAACUGUGCACAUCUUGACGGUACCUAAUCAGAAAGCCACGGCUAACUACGUGCCAGCAGCCGCGGUAAUACGUAGGUGGCAAGCGUUAUCCGGAAUUAUUGGGCGUAAAGCGCGCGUAGGCGGUUUUUUAAGUCUGAUGUGAAAGCCCACGGCUCAACCGUGGAGGGUCAUUGGAAACUGGAAAACUUGAGUGCAGAAGAGGAAAGUGGAAUUCCAUGUGUAGCGGUGAAAUGCGCAGAGAUGUGGAGGAACACCAGUGGCGAAGGCGACUUUCUGGUCUGUAACUGACGCUGAUGUGCGAAAGCGUGGGGAUCAAACAGGAUUAGAUACCCUGGUAGUCCACGCCGUAAACGAUGAGUGCUAAGUGUUAGGGGGUUUCCGCCCCUUAGUGCUGCAGCUAACGCAUUAAGCACUCCGCCUGGGGAGUACGACCGCAAGGUUGAAACUCAAAGGAAUUGACGGGGGCCCGCACAAGCGGUGGAGCAUGUGGUUUAAUUCGAAGCAACGCGAAGAACCUUACCAAAUCUUGACAUCCUUUGACAACUCUAGAGAUAGAGCCUUCCCCUUCGGGGGACAAAGUGACAGGUGGUGCAUGGUUGUCGUCAGCUCGUGUCGUGAGAUGUUGGGUUAAGUCCCGCAACGAGCGCAACCCUUAAGCUUAGUUGCCAUCAUUAAGUUGGGCACUCUAAGUUGACUGCCGGUGACAAACCGGAGGAAGGUGGGGAUGACGCCAAAUCAUCAUGCCCCUUAUGAUUUGGGCUACACACGUGCUACAAUGGACAAUACAAAGGGCAGCGAAACCGCGAGGUCAAGCAAAUCCCAUAAAGUUGUUCUCAGUUCGGAUUGUAGUCUGCAACUCGACUACAUGAAGCUGGAAUCGCUAGUAAUCGUAGAUCAGCAUGCUACGGUGAAUACGUUCCCGGGUCU